AGGUCCCGCGGCCGGACGAAGACAGUGUGACUGAGUGUGGGAGAGGAAUGGCGCCGGCGGCUGAAGGAACAAGAACAGAAACCGCUGGAAAAGCUGAGCAGGUCCGGCAGCUCGUGUUGAGAGAAAUUGUGACCUAUUUGGAUAGGGCAAGGCUUACCAGGGUAGCCCACAGCACAACUGGUAUCAAACUGGCACACAACACCUUUACAGGGUAAGGAUAUCAAAACUGAGCACCGUGUUCAAGAUGUAGUCCCACCAGUGCUCUGUAACUGAGGCAUAAUCUCCUUACAUUUAUGUCAUUGGCCUUUCUAAUCACUUGCUGCGCUUGCAUUCUAACUUGUGACUUUGCAAGGCCCCUGGAUCCCUCUGCAUCUCAGAAUUAUGCGGUUGUUCUCCAAAUAGGUAAUAAAUUGCAUUUUACCAUAUUGUACACCACUUGCAAGAGUUUUGCUUAUUUAUUUAACCAAUCUAACAAUCUGCAUCCUUGAUAUGUCAUCCCCACAAUGUACUUCUCAAUCUAUUUUUGUGUUUCCUGCAAAUGUAACCACAUACCUUUGAUCCCCUCCUGUAAGUCAUCUAUAUAAUUGUAGAAAGUUGAGGAGCCAGCAGAGAUGCCUGUUGGAACCCCACCAUACUUU
Long non-coding RNA from Hemiscyllium ocellatum (epaulette shark), 638 nucleotides. RefSeq lists it as uncharacterized. The record is from RefSeq and is a predicted model, not a curated record. Lineage: Eukaryota; Metazoa; Chordata; Chondrichthyes; Orectolobiformes; Hemiscylliidae. The transcript is spliced from 3 exons.